GACGAACGCUGGCGGCGUGCUUAACACAUGCAAGUCGAACGGAAAGGCCCCUUUGGGGGUACUCGAGUGGCGAACGGGUGAGUAACACGUGAGUAACCUGCCCUUGACUUCGGGAUAACUUCAGGAAACUGGGGCUAAUACCGGAUAGGAAUCCUUGCUGCAUGGUGGGGGUUGGAAAGCUUCGGCGGUUUUGGAUGGACUCGCGGCUUAUCAGCUUGUUGGUGGGGUAGUGGCUUACCAAGGCUUUGACGGGUAGCCGGCCUGAGAGGGCGACCGGCCACAUUGGGACUGAGAUACGGCCCAGACUCCUACGGGAGGCAGCAGUGGGGAAUAUUGCACAAUGAGCGGAAGCCUGAUGCAGCAACGCCGCGGGCGGGAUGACGGCCUUCGGGUUGGAAACCGCGUUCAGCAGGGGCGAAGCUUGUGGUGACGGUACCUGCAGAAGAAGCACCGGCUAACUACGUG
This 465-nucleotide ribosomal RNA is filed under the name uncultured bacterium. RNAcentral describes it as "partial 16S ribosomal RNA". It matches the Rfam family "Bacterial small subunit ribosomal RNA", at positions 28 to 507 of the family's 1533-position model. The record is from RNAcentral.